GUCCACGCCUUAAACGAUGAAUACUCGAUGUCAGCCCGCAAGGGUUGGUGUCCAAGCUAACGCAUUAAGUAUUCCACCUGGGAAGUACGAUCGCAAGGUUGAAACUCAAAGGAAUUGACGGGGGCCCGCACAAGCAGUGGAGCAUGUGGUUUAAUUCGAUGCAACGUGAAGAACCUUACCUGGGUUUGAAAGCUCUGUAAACCGAUGAAAGUCGGGUAGUGUAGCAAUACACGCGGAGUACAGGUGCUGCAUGGCUGUCGU
This 261-nucleotide ribosomal RNA is filed under the name uncultured bacterium. Its description in RNAcentral is "partial 16S ribosomal RNA". It matches the Rfam family "Bacterial small subunit ribosomal RNA", at positions 793 to 1055 of the family's 1533-position model. The record is from RNAcentral.